AAAAAAAAAAAAAAAUUGUUGUGGGUGGGGGCUAGUGCUUGCAGAGCUGGGUCAGUGAUAGCUUGGCAAUUGAUUUGUAUCUAUCCAGUCCAAGAAGAGGAUAUCUGGUUGUUGACGAGUGAGGGAGGUACACGUGGAUUAUUUUUAGCCACAUAAAUGGUUUAUUUUAGGACAAUUAUUUUUGUUUAUGAAUUUUAAUAAUGUUUGUGAGAAGUUAUUGUCAUUUGUCAUGGUGUCUGUGCCGACGUGGGACCCAUUAGGGUGAGAGUGGGGGGAAGAUUGUGUCAGUGACAGGAAGAGACACG
This 305-nucleotide unclassified non-coding RNA is filed under the name Hevea brasiliensis (rubber tree). Lineage: Eukaryota; Viridiplantae; Streptophyta; Magnoliopsida; Malpighiales; Euphorbiaceae. The record is from RNAcentral.